RNAcentral lists this ribosomal RNA (1416 nucleotides) under seawater metagenome. Its description in RNAcentral is "bacterial LSU rRNA". It matches the Rfam family "Bacterial large subunit ribosomal RNA", at positions 1050 to 2590 of the family's 2925-position model. The record is from RNAcentral.
AAAUCAUGAUUAAGUGUGAAAGGAUGUGGAAAUUCCUUAACAGCCGGUAGGUUGGCUUAGAAGCAGCCAUCCUUUAAAGAUAGCGUAACAGCUCACCGGUCUAAUAGAGUUUCUGCGCCGAAGAUGUAACGGGGCUAAAAUCAUAUACCGAAUCUGUGGGUUUAUAAAACUUUCGAGUUUUAUAAGCGGUAGCGGAACGUUCUGUAAGCCUGUGAAGGGAUACCCGUGAGGGAUCCUGGAGGUAUCAGAAGUGCGAAUGCUGACAUAAGUAACGAUAAAAGAAGUGAAAAACUUCUUCGCCGAAAAUCCAAGGGUUUCUGCGCAAGGUUAAUCCGCGCAGAGUUAGUCGGCACCUAAGGCGAGGGCGAAAGCCGUAGUCGAUGGAAACAAGGUUAAUAUUCCUUGACCUGAUGGUAGUGACGGAUUUCGUAAGUUGUGAGUUCUUAAUGGAUUGAACUUGCCGCGAAGAGGUCCCAAGAAAUAGCUCCAUCAUGAAGACCGUACCCGAAACCGACACAGGUAGAUUAAUAGAGUAUAUUUAGGCGCUUGAGAGAAUGAUGUUGAAGGAACUCGGCAAAAUGCUUCCGUAACUUCGGGAUAAGGAAGACCCUUUUGUAGGCAACUAUAGAAGGGUGGCACAAGCCAGGGAGAAGCGACUGUUUAUCAAAAACACAGGGCUCUGCUAACACGUAAGUGGAUGUAUAGGGUCUGACGCCUGCCCGGUGCUGGAAGGUUAAUGCGGUUGGUGCAAGCUAACUUCUGAAGCCCCAGUAAACGGCGGCCGUAACUAUAACGGUCCUAAGGUAGCGAAAUUCCUUGUCGGGUAAGUUCCGACCUGCAUGAAUGGCGUAACGAUUUCUCCGCUGUCUCCAACAUCAACUCAGUGAAAUUGAAUUCUCCGUGAAGAUGCGGAGUUCGCGUAGUUAGACGGAAAGACCCCGUGCACCUUUACUGCAACUUUACAUUGGUGUUAGGAAAAACAUAUUUAGCAUAGGAGGGAGACUUUGAAGCAAAGGCGUCAGCUUUUGUGGAGUCACCAGUGAAAUACCUCUUUUGUUUUUCUUGAUAUCUAACUGAUUGCCGUCAUCCGGCAUCAAGACAUUGUAUGGUGGGUAGUUUGACUGGGGCGGUCGCCUCCCAAAUAGUAACGGAGGCGUGCGAAGGUAGGCUCAGAACGGUCAGAAAUCGUUCGUAGAGUGCAAUGGCAUAAGCCUGCCUGACUGUGAGACUGACAAGUCGAGCAGAGACGAAAGUCGGUCAUAGUGAUCCGGUGCUUCUGAGUGGAAGGGGCAUCGCUCAACGGAUAAAAGGUACGCCGGGGAUAACAGGCUGAUACUGCCCAAGAGUCCAUAUCGACGGCAGUGUUUGGCACCUCGAUGUCGGAGAUCGGAAGAGCACACGUCUGAACUCCAGUCA